ACACAUGCAAGUCGAACGGCAGCACGGGAGUAAUCCUGGUGGCGAGUGGCGAACGGGUGAGUAAUAUAUCGGAACGUGCCCAGUCGUGGGGGAUAACGUAGAGAAAUUUACGCUAAUACCGCAUACGAUCUAAGGAUGAAAGCGGGGGACCGUAAGGCCUCGCGCGAUUGGAGCGGCUGAUAUCAGAUUAGGUUGUUGGUGAGGUAAAAGCUCACCAAGCCGACGAUCUGUAGCUGGUUUGAGAGAACGACCAGCCACACUGGGACUGAGACACGGCCCAGACUCCUACGGGAGGCAGCAGUGGGGAAUUUUGGACAAUGGGCGAAAGCCUGAUCCAGCAAUGCCGCGUGCAGGAAGAAGGCCUUCGGGUUGUAAACUGCUUUUGUACGGAACGAAAAAGCCUUUUCUAAUAAAGAGGGCUCAUGACGGUACCGUAAGAAUAAGCACCGGCUAACUACGUGCCAGCAGCCGCGGUAAUACGUAGGGUGCGAGCGUUAAUCGGAAUUACUGGGCGUAAAGCGUGCGCAGGCGGUUCUAUAAGACAGAUGUGAAAUCCCCGGGCUCAACCUGGGAAUGGCAUUUGUGACUGUAGAGCUAGAGUACGGUAGAGGGGAUGGAAUUCCGCGUGUAGCAGUGAAAUGCGUAGAUAUGCGGAGGAACACCGAUGGCGAAGGCAAUCCCCUGGACCUGUACUGACGCUCAUGCACGAAAGCGUGGGGAGCAAACAGGAUUAGAUACCCUGGUAGUCACGCCUAAACGAUGUCACUGGUUGUUGGGUGCAUUAGUACUCAGUAACGAAGCUAACGCGUGAGUGACGCUGGGGAGUACGCGCAGUGGACUCAGAUGACGGACCGCAAGCGUGGAUGAUGGUAUCGAUGCACCGAAACUACUACUUGACUUGUACGGAUCCCC
RNAcentral lists this ribosomal RNA (912 nucleotides) under uncultured bacterium. RNAcentral's name for it is "bacterial SSU rRNA". The stretch from base 1 to 819 matches the Rfam family "Bacterial small subunit ribosomal RNA", at positions 51 to 873 of the family's 1533-position model. The record is from RNAcentral.